GGAGUCUGGACCGUGUCUCAGUUCCAGUGUGGGGGACCUUCCUCUCAGAACCCCUAAGGAUCGAAGGCUCGGUGGGCCGUUACCCCUCCGACUACCUAAUCCUACGCAUCCCCAUCCCGCAGCGGUGAAACCUUUCGUCCAAAUCGGAUGCCGUCAAUGGACAACAUAGGGGAUUAAUCCGUCUUUCAACGGGCUGGACCCUACUGCGGGGAAGGUUGGAUACGCGUUACGCACCCGUGCGCCGGUCGCCAUCAUAGGUUGCAAGCAACCUACAUGCUGCCCCUCGACUUGCAUGUGUUAAGCCUGUAGCUAGCGUUCAUC
RNAcentral lists this ribosomal RNA (321 nucleotides) under uncultured Prevotella sp. Its description in RNAcentral is "partial 16S ribosomal RNA". Lineage: Bacteria; Pseudomonadati; Bacteroidota; Bacteroidia; Bacteroidales; Prevotellaceae. The record is from RNAcentral.